CCUACGGGGGGCUGCAGUGAGGAAUAUUGGUCAAUGGGCGCAAGCCUGAACCAGCCAUCCCGCGUGCAGGAAGACGGCGCUAUGCGUUGUAAACUGCUUUUCCAGGGAGAGAAACUUGCGCACGUGUUGCGCAAUUGACGGUACCCUGGGAAUAAGCAUCGGCUAACUCCGUGCCAGCAGCCGCGGUAAUACGGAGGAUGCGAGCGUUAUCCGGAUUCAUUGGGUUUAAAGGGUGCGUAGGCGGACUAUUAAGUCAGUGGUGAAAUCCUGCAGCUUAACUGCAGAACUGCCAUUGAUACUGAUAGCCUUGAGUUUGGUUAAGGUAGGCGGAAUGUGUAAUGUAGCGGUGAAAUGCUUAGAUAUUACACAGAACACCAAUUGCGUAGGCAGCUUACUGAGCCGACACUGACGCUGAGGCACGAAAGCGUGGGGAUCGAACAGGAUUAGAUACCCCAGUAGUC
Molecule: ribosomal RNA, 461 nt
Filed under: uncultured Bacteroidota bacterium
Lineage: Bacteria; Pseudomonadati; Bacteroidota
Description: bacterial SSU rRNA
Rfam family: Bacterial small subunit ribosomal RNA
Source: RNAcentral